CCUACGGGGGGCAGCAGUGGGGAAUAUUGCACAAUGGGGGGAACCCUGAUGCAGCGACGCCGCGUGGAGGAAGAAGGUCUUCGGAUUGUAAACUCCUGUCAUUCGGGACGAUAAUGACGGUACCGAAUGAGGAAGCCACGGCUAACUACGUGCCAGCAGCCGCGGUAAUACGUAGGUGGCGAGCGUUGUCCGGAAUUACUGGGCGUAAAGGGCGCGUAGGCGGUCUACUAAGUCAGAUGUGAAAACCGACGGCUUAACCGGAGGAUUGCAGUUGAUACUGGGUUACUUGAGGCAAGGAGAGGAAGGUGGAAUUCCCGGUGUAGCGGUGAUAUGCGUAGAUAUCGGGAGGAACCCCAGUGGCGAAGGCGGCCUUCUGGUCUUGACCUGACGCUGAGGAGCGAAAGCCAGGGUAGCGAACGGGAUUAGAUACCCGUGUAGUCAC
Molecule: ribosomal RNA, 442 nt
Filed under: uncultured Syntrophaceticus sp.
Lineage: Bacteria; Bacillati; Bacillota; Clostridia; Thermoanaerobacterales; Thermoanaerobacterales Family III. Incertae Sedis
Description: bacterial SSU rRNA
Rfam family: Bacterial small subunit ribosomal RNA
Source: RNAcentral